UGCAUGUCGAACGAACUUUGGUUAGUGGCGAAUGGGUGAGUAACAUGUAAGAAUCUACCCCUUGAUCAGGGAUACCCCAUGGAAACGUGGGUUAAUACCAGAUAAGCUGAAAAGUUAAAGAGUUUUCGUCAAGGGAUGAGCUUGCACCUGAUUAGCUAGUUGGUAAGGUAAAAGCUUACCAAGGCGACAAUCAAUAGCUGAUUUGAGAGGAUGAUCAGCCACACUGGGACUGAGAUACGGCCCAGACUCC
RNAcentral lists this ribosomal RNA (250 nucleotides) under uncultured bacterium. RNAcentral describes it as "partial 16S ribosomal RNA". It matches the Rfam family "Bacterial small subunit ribosomal RNA", at positions 56 to 339 of the family's 1533-position model. The record is from RNAcentral.